Molecule: ribosomal RNA, 255 nt
Filed under: uncultured bacterium
Lineage: Bacteria
Description: partial 16S ribosomal RNA
Rfam family: Bacterial small subunit ribosomal RNA
Source: RNAcentral
UACGGAGGGGUUAGCGUUGUUCGGAAUUACUGGGCGUAAAGCGCGCGUAGGCGGAUUGGAAAGUUGGGGGUGAAAUCCCGGGGCUCAACCCCGGAACUGCCCUCCAAAACUUCCAGUCUGGAGUUCGAGAGAGGUGAGUGGAAUUCCGAGUGUAGAGGUGAAAUUCGUAGAUAUUCGGAGGAACACCAGUGGCGAAAGGCGGCUCACUGGCUCGAUACUGACGCUGAGGUGCGAAAGUGUGGGGAGCAAACGAGG